RNAcentral lists this ribosomal RNA (513 nucleotides) under uncultured bacterium. RNAcentral's name for it is "partial 16S ribosomal RNA". It matches the Rfam family "Bacterial small subunit ribosomal RNA", at positions 28 to 523 of the family's 1533-position model. The record is from RNAcentral.
GAUGAACGCUGGCGGCGUGCCUAAUACAUGCAAGUCGAGCGAACAGACGAGGAGCUUGCUCCUCUGACGUUAGCGGCGGACGGGUGAGUAACACGUGGAUAACCUACCUAUAAGACUGGGAUAACCUCGGGAAACCGGAGCUACUACCGGAUAAUAUAUUGAACCGCAUGGUUCAAUAGUGAAAGACGGUUUUGCUGUCACUUAUAGAUGGAUCCGCGCCGCAUUAGCUAGUUGGUAAGGUAACGGCUUACCAAGGCAACGAUGCGUAGCCGACCUGAGAGGGUGAUCGGCCACACUGGAACUGAGACACGGUCCAGACGCCUACGGGAGGCAGCAGUAGGGAAUCUUCCGCAAUGGGCGAAAGCCUGACGGAGCAACGCCGCGUGAGUGAUGAAGGUCUUCGGAUCGUAAAACUCUGUUAUUAGGGAAGAACAAAUGUGUAAGUGACUAUGCACGUCUUGACGGUAACUAAUCAGAAAGCCACGGCUAACUACGUGCCAGCCGCCGCCGUAA